AGGCGGCGGCGCGCACCAGGGGCCGUACGCCAAGCGGCUUCACGCCAAGGCCACGCACGCGAUUUCGAAGCCACCAACGGCUCAAGGCGGUGGACGGUUGGGGCCGUUGGGGAGCGCCGCUGCGUAGCUGCACCGCCACACCCUGGCGGGCUGCAAAGGGAAGGCGGCUCCCAGCUGCUCGGCCUGCGCACGCACGGCGCUGCUGGCCUCCCCAAGAGUUAAGCCAAGGUGGGCGCGCAGGUGCAGUCUGUGCCCAGGGACGCUGCAGGAGAAGGUGCUAUUUUGAGACUAAGGACCGUGCUGACGGUGCGCGGGGGCGUGGGGACCAGAACCGUGGUCCCACACCGAGGAAGACCCCGACUGCCCUCCAGAGACGCCGGGCAAGGGUGUGAGCGCCACAUGAGGUGGGUUUCAGGACAGACAUGAACCGGCUGGCGACCAUGCUCCCCAUGGUCCCAGGGGAAGAAGACGUGCCCUGGGCUCUGGUCCAGCUGAUGACAAACCACAGACGUGCAGUGCAGGGAAAACAAGAGCAACUGCCCGGCAGGCCCCUGCACCUGGUUCUUGUGUACCUGGAGGCCCGGCCUCACCAGGUUUGCCUCCCCACACUCCAGAGGUACAAAAGGACCCAGUGGAUUUCCCAGCAGCCCUGGGGGAUAGCACCUCGCCCACAGAUGACUGGAAAUGCAGAAACCACCCCAGGCCUCUCUGUGCUCCCAACCUGCUUCUCCCGACUGGGACAGCUGAGGGGCCAGGCGAGCUGUGUCACUGUUGGCUCCUCUGUGCACCCUCGAGUUGACUCUGGAAGCAACAUUACGCUGGCCGCAGAGGGCGAAGUCCAGCAGAGGCUCCAGGGCCCUUCCAAACCUGAAAGACACCAUGUGAACCAAGAGAGAAGCCCGGCUUGUGCCCAUGGAGUCCACUAUUGUUGA
Molecule: long non-coding RNA, 932 nt
Filed under: Oryctolagus cuniculus (rabbit)
Lineage: Eukaryota; Metazoa; Chordata; Mammalia; Lagomorpha; Leporidae
Description: lncRNA (ENSOCUG00000032732.1)
Source: RNAcentral